Molecule: ribosomal RNA, 333 nt
Filed under: Triticum aestivum (bread wheat)
Lineage: Eukaryota; Viridiplantae; Streptophyta; Magnoliopsida; Poales; Poaceae
Description: partial small subunit ribosomal RNA
Source: RNAcentral
AUGAGAAGACAUGAUGACUUUAGAGUUUGUUAUGAUCUUGCAAGCCUAGCCAAGAAAAUGUUUGAACUUGAAAGAAAUAUUAUGUUCCCUCUGGUUUAUCGCCUUAUUGAGUUGGGGUUGCUUCUACCGGUGGCAACGGCAUCGGUUGAAAGGGCCUUCUCAGCAAUGAAGAUCAUCAAGACUGAUUUGCGCAGCAAGAUGUCCAAUGGUUGGCUUGAUGACUUAAUGGUGUGCUACAUCGAGAGAGAGAUAUUUAAAGGACUUGAUCUUGCUGAAAUUAAGAAAGAAUUUCAACAUGAAGGUAGAAGAAUGCCAUUGCCACGUUCUACUUAA